This is a long non-coding RNA of Triticum dicoccoides, 177 nucleotides long. RefSeq lists it as uncharacterized. The record is from RefSeq and is a predicted model, not a curated record. Lineage: Eukaryota; Viridiplantae; Streptophyta; Magnoliopsida; Poales; Poaceae. The transcript has 4 exons.
GGGGGGAAUUCUAGAUACUUUUCCGUACUUUGUAUCUGGCGUACUUCAUCUAAUUUCCUCCGCAGUCUUAGGCUUCGGUAGCAUUUAUCACGCGCUUCUGGGACCCGAGACUCUUGAGGAAUCUUUUCCAUUCUUUGGUUAUGUCUGGAAAGAUAGAAAUAAAAUGACUAAAACUAG